RNA transcript from Saccostrea cuccullata (small rock oyster), 4787 nucleotides. It is a transcript of the gene named protein dispatched homolog 1-like, with no coding region annotated. The transcript is spliced from 5 exons. The record is from RefSeq and is a predicted model, not a curated record. NCBI's taxonomy places the organism in Eukaryota, Metazoa, Mollusca, Bivalvia, Ostreida, Ostreidae.
AAGUGAUUAACAAUGGCAGAUUCAUUGAUGGUUUCUCCUCCAUUAAUUCCGAUUACUUUAUGAUUUUCUGCAGAGCGGGGAUGAAUAGUAAAGGCUGAUGAAAUCCACAUGUACUAGCAUUACACUGCUUUUUUUCAUUGCAUACCAAGGUGAAAACUUUUUCCUUGUAAGUGUUGACAAAUACUUAGAAAUUUGGAAGGAUAUGUAAAAUGUAAACCAUAAAGUGCUGGCAGUUUCCUGUCCAGGCCAGGGGUCAUGAAACAUUUAAAUUUCAUGCCAGCGUUGGAGGACUUUCUUAAGGGGUUAUUGUAGAAGUCAUGUCUCUGUGAAUUUACUGUGGAUUUUAACCUCAGAAUGACAAGAUAUGCUCGGUUGAUUGCCCACUACCCCUAUGUAAUCAUUGUGAGCAUCCUUUGUUUGGCCAUUGUUUGCCUGGUGCUGUGUUUGACUGUGGUGGAGAUACCAAACUUCCAGGACCCAAGAGCAGGAUUUGAACCUAGGGGAACUUACAUUGCAAAUAGAAUUGUUGCCUAUAACAAUCUGGUGGAAGAUCGAAAUGGAAAGAUGUCAAUUAAACCAGGACCUAAGUGGGGUCACCAUAGAAAUGAAGCUGAAACCAUACAAUAUGUCACAAACAACCAGACCAGACAGAGAAGCACGAGAUCAGAGAGGAGGCCAGCAGGACAACCAGACAGGCAUGAUAUUGUGGACAGAAGUACACAUCACCCAAAAGAUUCUUUUUUCUGCAAUAUUGAAGCCAGCUACUUUUCAUUCUUUGCAAGGAUCGUCUUUACUAGUGCUGAUGGCAGCAACUUGUUUACUGCUUCCAAGCUGAAAGAGAUGUGCCAUAUAGAAGACCACCAUAUUCGCACACAUUCCACUUUCACAUCAAACUGCCAGACAAAGACAAGUAAACAAUGUUGCCUAAGCUGGUCUCUGGGUAACUAUGUUGCUAUGUUAUCAGGCAAGACUAACUGUUCUUCCAUUACUGACCAGGAUGUGGGAAGAGUUGGGGAUUUGUUGAGACGUUGUGCUGGACACUACUACAAUAAGACUCUGAAUCCCUCCUGUGACACUGACCAAGGAUCCCGCUUUUAUUGCUCAGGUAUUCCCGAGGAGUGUGUAAAAUUCCAGGCAGUUUACAAUAUUCUUCACCAUAUAGCAGACGUGAACUUUAUCCAUCCAGACAAAGAUAACCAAAACCUGUUUUUAACGUAUGCUGUAAUGUACUUGCCCCUGGUGGGUGGAGUGGACUCUGUAAAGCUAUUUCAACACAUCGAAUCAUGGCCAAAAGAUUUUGGCAAUGAAGUCCGUGUCUUUGGUGCUAAUUUUGGAAUUAAAGAUACUUUAUUCAGUCAGCAUUUGAUUACAGAUAGUAUGUGGUUGCUAGUAUCUGGCAUUAUUAUAUUUUUAGUGAUAUGGUUGUAUAGUUUAUCUAUUUUCAUUACAAUUAUGACAUUCUUUAUGAUGUUUUGGUCUCUUGAGAUGGCCUAUAUUUUGUACAUGUUGGUCUUUCGUAUUGGUUUUUUCCCUUACAUGAAUCUCGUUGCUGUCAUCAUAAUUCUUGCCAUUGGAGCAGAUGACGUCUUUAUUUAUUGCAGGGUGUGGAGUCUAGCCAAGUCCGUGCGUAAUAAUGGUAACUUAGAAAAAAUAGUGUCGGACACUUUACGUAACGGAAGUAUAUCGAUGUUUGUGACUAGCCUGACCACGGCUGCAGCCCUGUAUUGUAAUGCGUUCAGCUCCAUCUCUUCCAUUAAAUGUUUCAGUAUCUACGCAGGAACUGCUGUUUUGUGUAACUUUGUUCUUGUUGUUACUUGGAUGCCGGCGUCCAUUGUUAUUUAUGAAAAAUGGUGCAACUGUGAAAAACUUUAUAAUCCCGAAUUAUCUUCAAGAAAAAAUGUGUGCUUUUAUAUUUGUAAACUACCACAGCAAGCAUAUCAUAAGUUCUCAGAGUGCAGCAGGAUCGUGUUUGAAAAACUGCUUCCAUUUCUUGUAAUUCGCGCUAGAUUUAUAUGGUUAGUGAUUUUUAGCUUGUUAGGAAUUCUCGGAAUAGUGGUUAUAUUUUUUUACCCCAAACUAAGACUUCCUACUUCAGAGAAAUUCCAAGUAUUUUCUUCAGAUCAUCUAAUGGAGAAAUAUGACUUCAUGUUGAAUGAUCAGUUUUGGUUCGAAAGACAACAACGAAGGCAAGAGCUGCUUCCUUUGCGGUUUGUGUGGGGGAUCAAAGCGACAGACACCGGGUCAUACCUUGACCCCACUGACAGAGGAGACAUCAUCUUUGAUGAGCAUUUUGAUCCUACGACCCAGGAAGCUCAAUUAUGGAUGCUCAAUUUUUGUCAAGAUUUACGUCAAACAGAUUUCUAUCGAAAUAUGGGUGGCUUUGAACAGACAAACUGUUUCUUCGAAUUCUUUAGUCUUUUUAUGCAGCAGCCAUGUUCUCCUGACUUUAAUAUUCAGAGACCCUGCUGUAAUUACAACACAAGUAUAAUAAAGUCACAAGACAUAAUGCAGUGUGUUCCCUUGUACAUUCCAUCCUUGAUAAACUCUCCAAAUGUAAUCUACAACUCUUUUACUCCUGGUCCAAGAUUUACCAAUGGCAGAUUCAGUGCCUUGAUCAUUGAGUUCUACAGCAACUUUCAUUUUACUACAUCCUUUCGUGAUAUGUCCAGUUUUUACAACAGGGUGGAGCAGUUCUUCACAGAGAAAUUAAAAUCAGCACCACCCGAGAUCAAACAUGGCUGGUUUGUAAGUGAACUGGACUUUUUCAGUCUGCAGAAAAGUCUUAGUAGCGAGACUCCUGUGGCUCUUGGCAUCUCUCUCUUCAUCGUGACUUUUGUCACUUUUCUGACAACUCUAAAUGUUCUGAUUACUGUUUUUUCCAUUGUAAGCAUCGCUUUUGUAAUGUUCGUCACCAUUGCGGCCCUGACGUUGUUGGGCUGGGAGUUGAACAUUCUUGAGUCUGUUGUAAUUACAGUAGCAGUUGGACUUUCCAUAGACCUGACAUUACACGUUGGAGUAUCUUUUCGAAACUCGCCUGAUCUCAGUAGCGAACUUCGCGUAGCAUCCACCACAAGUAAACUGGGGGGAGUCGUUACAAUGGCAGCUACAACCACAUUCCUAGCGGGGGCACUUAUGAUGCCGUCGACCAUUUUGGCGUACCAAAAAUUUGGCACCUUUUUGAUGAUCAUUAUUUCUACCAGCUGGGCCUACGCAGUGUUUUUCUUCCAGUCUCUAUUAUGUGUGUUAGGGCCUCAUGGAGGCUUUGGACAAUUCCACUGGCCCUCGACCAAAUUCUGCCAGAGAACCGACAGAAAACGUGUAGACAAGACGGUGUAUUUGACUGCUGAAUCUUCAUCUAGUUGUUACCCGCCGUCGAGUAGCUUCAGCGAGCCGUCACAAGACAUGGAAAUUCUUUCGAACACUCCGAAGGCUGCAUUGUUCCAGCAUCGACGGUCCCGCUCCCGUGGGCAUUAUAUGAAGGCGCGCACAAGAAGUGACAGUCCCGAUUCUGAUAAUUCAGAGAAGAAGGAGGUUCAGGUGAAAUUCUCAGAAAGCUGUGAAGUAACGAAUUCCGAGAUUAUAGAUGACAAAAGAACAUCACCGACUAAUGAUUCUGUGUUGAAGGAAUCGAAAGGGGGUAAUGAGGUAGAAGGUUGUAGCACGUCUUUCAAACCGAUUCCGAUCGAAAUUCAUUUCAAAGAAAGUUUGACAUGAUAUUCUCGUAAAAUAUGUGAUAUUUUCAUUAAAGUUUGUCUGGUUACAAAAAGCUGUACAUUCCUUUUACGUAUGUUUGUUUAAAUUUUAUGUUAUUUUCUUUUUCAAAGUGCAUUAUGUUAUUUGAAUGAUACUUUUGAAUACUAAUAUUAAAACAUUAAUUAUGAAUAUGAUAGACUUUUCAAAAGAACCCGUAUGGUCGAAAUAGCCGAUUUCAUUGUUGUAACAUUACUGAUGUGUUGACUUCUGGUUUUAUUUUUAUGUACUUUUUUUACUCCUCUGUAGAUCUGAUAUUAUUGCUGAAGUACUGACCUAGUAAUCGUGAUAAACCUUUGUAGUAUUUUUAUACACUGAGAAUCAUAGGUACUCUUAGUAGUAUUUUCAUUGAAUACCUGCAAGUAAUUCAAGUCUUUAGUUUCAUUGUGGAUACCGAGUCAGUAUAUGUUAUACAUGUAGAUACUUUCUCAUGUUAAAACUUGUCUAGCAUUAGUUAAGUGUAUUGAUUAUUGGCUUUACUAAUUCAUUUGUAGUUACUACAUGGUAAUGCUAACUUGUAUUUUAUUUUAUAACUCAAGACUACACAUGUUUAAAAAUUAUUUGUUAUUGUUUACUUUUUUAUAAAAUCAUUAUUAUUGUUUUGUUGUCCUAUCUUGCCGGGAUCUUUGUUUAGGGCCGUCAGACUGGUUCUGGUUAUUUACACAAUAUUUAAUUGUUCUUUUAUGAGAAACUGAAUAAAAAAUAAAGUUUCUACCUCAUAAAAUAUACAAACAAAGCCUCGUACACAAACACAAGAUACGCACAUGGAAGAAAAGUUCUGAAUACUCGGUUAGUGUUGAUUUGUCAUUGCAAAGAGCAGGUAUAAACCAUAUUAUAUAAAUUUCGAAUGUUUUCUUUACGGCAAAUUUUACUACGAUUAUUGGCUACUUCAAAGGAAAGCCGCGGACAUUAUUCUCCAAUAAAUCACGAACGUCAUCAAAAAAAAAGAUCAGAAACACGUAUAAAACCUGUGCAGUUGAAAUGUACAUUUGACUUAAGAAUGAAAUACGUAUUUAAACCACAUUGAUGUGUCGUCU